UCGUAUCUGGAAACAGAACAACCCGAGAACAAUGAAAACAUCACUCUCGGUGGGCCGGUUUCUUUGCUGAUUCUGUGCCUGCCGAUUCCGUGGUUAUGCGUUAAGUUCCCAGCCAGUACUUCAGUCUUGGUUGGGUCUUGCGCAUUGCUUCCGGAUAUCACCAAACCCCGGCACGAAAAGUGUCAAGGAACAUUCAACUAGGUAGCCUGCUUUCGCCAACCCGGAGACGGUGUUUGUGCGGAAGCUGUGCUCCAAUGUAAAGUCU
Molecule: unclassified non-coding RNA, 265 nt
Filed under: Sinapis alba (white mustard)
Lineage: Eukaryota; Viridiplantae; Streptophyta; Magnoliopsida; Brassicales; Brassicaceae
Source: RNAcentral